This 279-nucleotide ribosomal RNA is filed under the name uncultured bacterium. RNAcentral describes it as "partial 16S ribosomal RNA". It matches the Rfam family "Bacterial small subunit ribosomal RNA", at positions 506 to 784 of the family's 1533-position model. The record is from RNAcentral.
UGCCAGCCGCCGCGGUAAUACGGAGGGAUCGAACGUUAAUCGGAAUUACUGGGCGUAAAGCGCGCGUAGGCGGUUCGAUAAGUGGGGUGUGAAAUCCCCGGGCUCAACCCGGGAACUGCAUCCCAAACUGUCGAACUAGAGUAUGGUAGAGGGAGGUAGAAUUUCUUGUGUAGCGGUGAAAUGCGUAGAUAUAAGAAGGAAUACCGAUGGCGAAGGCAGCCUCCUGGACCAAUACUGACGCUGAGGUGCGAAAGCGUGGGGAGCAAACAGGAUUAGAUA